AAGAGUCUACUGUAGAUUUGAUCUAAUAUGAGAUAGAACACUGCUAGAUGAUUAAGAACAGCCUCUCUAUGUUGUCCUUGUCUUCUUCUCUUUCUUUCUCUUCCUUUUCUGCCUUGUUUUCCUCCUUUUCUUUGGAAUCUCAUGGUUGUUCUCUUCUCCCACGUUGCUGCCUCCAAAAUGCAACCUCCACACUCCCCCUAAUGUUAAUUAGGGUUAGGUUAAGAGGGAGUGAGCUGUGGGCUGCCCAAGCCCGCUAUGGGCUGAAUUUGUGGGCUGCCAGCCUAACAAC
This 289-nucleotide long non-coding RNA is filed under the name Musa acuminata (dwarf banana). RNAcentral's name for it is "long non-coding RNA (MACU_LNC010716)". The record is from RNAcentral. Lineage: Eukaryota; Viridiplantae; Streptophyta; Magnoliopsida; Zingiberales; Musaceae.